Camelus dromedarius (Arabian camel) is the source of this 5974-nucleotide long non-coding RNA. RefSeq lists it as uncharacterized. The transcript is spliced from 6 exons. The record is from RefSeq and is a predicted model, not a curated record. NCBI's taxonomy places the organism in Eukaryota, Metazoa, Chordata, Mammalia, Artiodactyla, Camelidae.
CUUUAACUAAUAUCCAGACUGGUUCUGGAGAAUAGACUGUAGGCAAAAGAACUUCAGGAAAAUGAAGGAUCUUUGGAACUGGUUAUGUCUGGAUAGCGUGAAAGGCAGUGCCACCUCCCUCUGCAUUCUGGAUAGAAAGCUAGCAACUUCAGUGAUCAGUCUAUCAAAUUAUUGUCCUUUGUCACCAGGAUCCAUGAGCCUCCUGAGAAUACGGCCCUUGGAUACUAUUUACAGCCAACAUAGAACAAUUUGGUGAUGGAAGAAGAAUGCAAGGAUUAUGGAGUCAGAUGGUUGCUAUGUUGAUGCAUAGACGGAAAUACAAGAUACCCAAAUGCCUUGCUUGCAUGGUGACAGAGUUAUCCUUUCAGGAGAGUAGCAAACUCUGGGAAAUUUCUGGAAGAAAUAGAACACUGAUGAGAAUGCAGAGAGGAAACUCCCCAUGACUCUGGGAAGCACAAAGCAGGCACAGGACUCAGCCGACCAUGGUGGUGUGAUUUCAGCUCAAAACAACCUCCAAGAACUCUUGGGAGAAAUUUCCUUGGCUAUCCACCUGACAUGUUAGGAAAAUAAAAUGACAUUAAACACCAUUUCAAACAAACAAACAAACAAACAAACAAACAAAAAAACCACCCUGGUAGACAGCUGUCUCCAGUUACUGAUGAAUGAAAAUGGACGUGGGGUGAGCAAGGGCCCUAAACCAACAAAGCAGCAGACACCCCACCAGCGAUGCCCACCCUGCUGCCGUAUCUGGAGUGAUAUCUGGAAUGUCUGGAAUCAGCAAUCUCAGGACAACACACAUCGCCCCGCAUCGUAUCCUCCCAGGUUGGUUCCAGCUACUGAAUGGAAGCACACGUGAUGGUUGUUUGAAGACUUUUUAAAACUUUGUCAGCCAGAGGUUUCUCAAGAAGUGCCGUGAUGAAACGCGCACCUGGGUGUCAUUUGUGUGGAAGAGCAAGACGCAUGGACCACGGCGGGUGACUAACUGGUCUCUGAGAGGGGAAACCAGAAGAGGUCUCCAGUCCUAGAGCUGGAUCAUCUGCUUUGGUCCCUGGCCCGGUGGACUGAGGAAUAAUGAGGGGGGCUGCAGGCCACCCUGAGGACAGCAGGGCGUUGCAGAAAGAGUCCUGACCCGCUCAGUGAAUGAACAGAUGCAAAUGAAGGCAGUGUGCAGUGACUGAGGAGCCACGUGCCAGGCUCACUUGAGGCUGAUUGAGGGAACACUGGAGAACAGCCUCUUCUCUCUCGGUUCUGGAGGCUGGAAGUCUGAGAUCUGGGUGCCAGCGUGGGCGAGUUCUGACAGCGACAGCCAGAGGAAACGGUGAAACAGACUCCAGCUCAAUGCAAAGGAGAACUUUCAAAUGCUCAGAGAUGGAACAGGUUUUUUCAGUAUUUCAGGUAGGGGCCAGAUGACUUGACCAAGAUUUCAGAGAGAGGAUUCCAGAAUGGAUAAGAGCAGAUGGCCCCCCAGAUUUCUUCCUCUGCUUGAUUCUACCAUGGUCUAAGGUUUGGGGCACUUCCUAGGAUGGUCCACUUGGGUCAACAAGACACAACAGACUGGGAUCCAGGAGGGAGGCACUUUUCUAAGUGCUUUAGAGAUGUUAAUUCAUUUAAUUCUCAAAACAGCUGAAUGAACAGAUACCAUUAAUGACAUCGUUCUCAUUUUACAGAUGCAAAAACUGAGCCAUAUAGUGGCUACAUAAUUUAUCCAGAGUCACACAAGUAAUGAGUGUUAGAGCCAGGGUUUGAAUUUUAGCAUUCUGACCCCAAAGCCUCUGCUCACAACCAUUUCCAUAUAAAAAUCUCUUACUAAGAGAGAAUGUAUAAUUAGAAAAUGUUCCUUUUAUUUCCCUCUGCCUCCCCACCAAGAUUUUUGGUAUGUCCCCUUCCUAUCUUGCAAACCACUGUAUUACUAGAAGUUAAUGAUAGCAGUUGCCAAUGUAACAUUCUCAUUUUGUCAGGUGAUAAUUUACAGGGUCUGAUUCUUCCACUUCACAAACAGGAUCUGAGGCAGGGGGUUCCCAAAUGCACCAUAAAUUCCUACAGACUAAUCAAACUUCUAUGACUGUGUUCAUUCUCUCAGAAGGCCUAACUGAAGGUAUAAACAGUAAUGUCCUGAUCACAAUAUAUAUCUGGUUCCUGUUUAAGUAUUACCUCCACUGUGGGAAACACUGCAUUUCUAUACCUCUUCUAUGGAAGGAAGGCUGGGCCUUACACCAGUGGUUCCUGCAUAUUAACUUCCCUAAUGGUAAGUGGAAUUUGGUAAUAAAAGGAACGACACUUGACACACAGUAGGUACUAAAUAUGUAUUUGUUUAAUACAUGUGAUCAAUUGGAAUUUAUUGACUUUAGGAGAAUAAAGGUGUCAGAUAAUCUAUUUCCCCUCAUGGUGUUUUUUGGUCUCUGACAGUAGCUUGUCCUAUUUAAUUUUUUGCCCUCCAAAUCUUUGUGCUUCCAGUAACUGGGCAAACAAAAAUUAAAGUGUCUUCUCAACUGCUGCAUUCCUGAGGGUAAAAAUCUUUCUUAGGAGAAAAUGUUGUUGUUACUGUUUAGACAAACUAUGCUUCCAGCAUGCUUUUAUUCCAGAUCUUUUUUUCCUCAGUAUUCACAGUAAGCUUUGCUAAUCCAAUUAGGACACAGAACAUGAACUGUUAAAAUAACUGAUUCACUCUAUAGAUAAGGAUACAGGCUUUGUGUCUAAGAAGACCGCUUGAUUCGCUGUGUACAAGGACAGACUGUUCCUUGCCUGGUUUAUUUACCAUGUGUUUUAAUUAGCUGCCCGGCCUUUCAUGGUAGUCGCUGUUCCAAAAGUGGAGAGAUUUGAGCUUGUUAAAGUGAUGGCUUAAGUAAGAGCUUUGUCAUUGUGUCUGUACUUUUCUCUCUGCUCUCACUUCUGCUCAGAGACUGAGCUCUGUAGCCCAAUAUGACAACAUUGGUAUCCUCCCAGAGGCCCCAGAAGCAGGUUACACUACAUUGUGGGCUCCUCAGUGGCACAAACUUUGUCUCAUUGUCUUUGUACCCUCAUGGCGUAGCACAGUGCCCAGCAAUGCUUACAGGAAAUGCUUAAGAAAUACUGGUUGAACUUUUCAACUGAGGCCCAUUCAGGAAGGCACACACCUUUGUCAUCCUCUCUCUCAUAUUGUCUCUCACAUAUUGUCAAUCUCAAAAUCCUGUGUAAUCUGUCCAGAGGUAAUAUGCAAUGACUAUUUAACCAACAGUGCACAGGGGCACCGACCAGUGAGCCAUUGAGCUGGAACAGGAUCCUGAAGGACCCUGCCUAUGAUAGACGUUGACUCCACAGAUCCAGGGAAGGGACAUUCAAGGGAGAACCUCGGGUUGGGGCAGUGGUACUUACUAGUUGAAAUGGAAGUAUUUAAAUAUUUUAACAAAGGUACAGCUGUACUUGUGCAUACCAGCUGAUCAUAUCUGUUUAAUUCCCCCAAAGCCCCAAAGCCAUGCAGUACAAUGCAGCCAGACUUAUCUUUUUUUCCUUUCCCAAAUGGAAAUAUCAUUGCUUUUUUCCUCUGAUAAACAUAGCUGUUGUAAAAAUAUAGUAAAAUUAGAUGAGCUGGGAAGUUGGUAGCUGCGGCAUAGUUUUUGUAAUUUCUCUGAAUCGCCAAAUACAGACAGAUAGAGCAACUAGAUGGCGAAACCAAAAACCCGUGAACACAUUUACAAUAAAACUGGGUGACAAGAUAUUCCCCGAGUCCCCAAAUACAUGCAUGAUAUCAACAUCUGUGCAGAGAAAGCAGAGGGAAUCAGUGGGGCGUAUGAUGGGAUGGAGAGCGGGAGAAUCCCAGAACAGUCAACAGGCACGCACUGAACGCAGGGCAGGCUCAUUUGAGAACAGCAGCUGUAACUGGGAAGAGCCCGCCAACGCCAAGAGCAGGAGAGUUUCCAGUAAAAAUGGAAGGAGCAGAAGCAGCCUGUUACAGACUCUCACAACUGACCAGCCAGGGACCCUUUUCAGGAUAGGAUACUGGCUUGAGAAGAAACCGUGGAAGGAGACAAUAGAGAAGGGAAAAAAGCCAGAGGUAAGUGGGGGAAGGAAAGAGAUCCAAGAAAUCUCAGAGCAAGCUGCCAUGUUUUUUAGAUCCUCAUUAGACCAUCAGAAAAGGGUGUUCCAUGAAGUUACUAGAGCUACUUCGGGCCACACUUCUUCCUAAAAUUUCAGGAAAGCUAAUUUUCCAUAAAAAAAUAAGUAAUAAAAAGUAUGAAGUUCAAAUCCCACACAAAGUUGUUUUAAGAAAAAAAGGUGUGCACCACAGAACAUCUAUCUAGACAGUGGAAUCACACCAGAAAUACAUGUGCACAGAACAGAUCAAAACUAUAACCUUCUAUUUAAAAGCCAGCUAGAAGAUAUUAAGAAAGUCAUAGAAGAUACGAGCACAAGUCAAAUUAGAAAAAAAAUUUUAAUGAGAUGAUCGAACUUAGGAAAGAAUUAGGAAGAAAUAAAGAAAGAAACUUUAGAAAUGAAGACUAAACUAAAAACAAAUAAAUCAACAGAUGGGCCCUUAAGGAAAACAGAAUGUGGAAAGAAUGACAUUUCUUUAACAAAUUAAGAAAGAAACAAAAAUUUCAGGAGAAAGUAACAAAUACUGAAGAUAGAAAAAUAAGAUCCACCAUGUAGACAAUAGGAAUCCCUGAAGACAAAAACUAAAGGAAAGGAACAGAACACAUGAUAAAAUUAUAAUUCAAGAAAAUUUCCCCAAAAUUAAAAAAAAAUUCAAAAGUACACAUGAAAAGAACAUGCUGCACAUGAGAAUAUGAUACCAAAACUACCAAUACUUAGAUACAUUCUGGAAAAUUCACUGUCUUUUAAAGAAGAAAAAAUCAUUUGAGCAUCUAAGCAAAACAGGAAAAGAAAAUUAUCUUAUUAGUGUCAGACUUUAUGAAAGCAACAGUUUACCCCAGAAGAAAACAGAAUCACAUAUUUAACUAAUUUAAGACACUCAAGGUAGGAAAAUGUGAACCAUGUACAGUAAAACUGACUGUCAGGUAUGUAAGUGUUUUACCUGACAGCUGUCAUUAGUAGGCAAACUAUUAUCAACAUUCAAGAACUCAGGGAAUAUUGUUCCAUGAACCUUUUCAGAGGAUUCUAUUGGAGAACAAACUUCAGAUAAGAGACUGGUGGUGAGAGUUGAAAGUACGGCUGUUUUUAAAUUAAGAUAAAAUGGGUGUUAAAAGGAGGAGAGCACAGCAUGUAAUGGCUGUAUGAUCAGAAAAUGUAGAUAAGGCACAACUAUUGAAAAAUGAGGGGGCAGAACAGGGAAAGUAAAUGUGAAAAUGUCCUUCAGUGUUUUCAGUAAUAGUGUUUAGUAGUAUCAGCAUUGCUACUCUGAGUCUGGGGAUAAAGUAAAUAGGUAAAUAUAGGAUAUUCUAAUUCUAUCAUCCCCUGUGUUCUUAGGAACCAGGAUUUUCAUUUGGAAGAAAGAAAACUGUGGAUAUAACAAAAGAGGAAACGCAGAGGACAGAGAACAAAUUGAAGUGCGACGUAACUGUGCAAGCAGCAAAAUCCAGACUGUGGGAAACUCAAGACAAAUACCCAGGGUUCUUCAACCAAGACAGGAAAAGAAAAGAAUGGAGGGGGAAUCUGCAGAUUAAAAGAGACAAUGUAUCAAAUUAUUUUUAAAUACAUGUGUACUUGAGUGAUAAAAUCAUACAGAAAUGUAAAGAAAUUCAAACUUUAAAAGUCAGGAUGAUACUGAUUUUUGUGGGGAGGAAAGGAAACAGGGCACCAGAGGAGUUUCUGGGUGACUGACAAAGUUCUAUUUGUUGACUUGAAUAGUGGUUCCAAGGGUGUUCACCUUAGUAACUUAAAAAGCCACAUAUUUGUCUUUUGUUUGUGUUUGUAUCUGUGUUUCAUUUUUAAAUAAAAAGGUUUUUAAAAAUGAUGCUGAAAUUAUAAGCUCUUCCCUUAAUUCUCUACCCCAACUUCAGAGAUAAAUACUGUUAUCAUUUUGGUGUUUGUCUUUCCA